ACUACCAAACGCUACAUUUUAUCCGUCUCCUUUCCCUAUAACCCCAAACGCUACAUUUUAUCUCUCUACUCUUAAAACUUCUAUGCACAGAACCGAAACAAACUGAAGCUCACUACCAAAGAAAAUCUAAAGCGAACCAUAGAACAUUUCUUGUUUUACUAUUCAAAAAUCCGCAUACCAAAUCUACAAUAUUUGUUCAGUAUCUCAACUGAACGUAAACAGAAUGGGACAAGCAAGAUGAUCAUCAAACCAAAACGAUUAGAGGAGAAAUCUCAGAUUUAAACAAUCACGGUUUUUAAGCCAAUAUGAAGAAUAUGAACAAAGAAUGAAGGGGAAAAGGGUAAACUGAACCUGAACGAAAAACGCACGUUUCCGAUAAGCGUGAUUAUCAGAACCGAAUCUUGAGUUGAGAUAUGGUAUUAGCCGAGCUUUUAGUGCAAGGUUCAAGGGGAAUUUCAGCAGAGGUUUGGUAUCGGUCUCCUCCUCUUCUCAAUGAUUGGAUUCUCUUUAUUUAUAGAGGAGAUACGAGGUUUUGGAAUCGUGUACGAACCAUGAGCUGGAAAAAUGCAACAAAUCAUUCUGUUAGAAAAAGGAUGCUUCUCAGAUUUGGUUGCAUUACAACUUUAGACUCAUGAUUCCGUAAGUUGUAACCUCCUAUUAGAAGGCGUCUUGCGCAAGGGGGAGUUUGAAAUGUCCUGAAAAGAUAACUAUAUGGAAGUAGCCUUACUCCAACACCAUGGCCAAACGUCGUGCCAUACCAACCUUUGAGGUCUUCCUGGCAUUAUGUUCUUGAACUAGAAAUCAGUAGGAUUAAUUAGGGUCACUUGUAUGUUUAUGCAUUGGUUUCGAGUGUGGUUAUGGAAGCAUGGUAAUGUUUGUAAAAUAUUUGGCUUGGAAUAUCAUAGUAUCGAAAUGAACCUGUAAUUGAUUUACGUUUGCAAUGUGAUGGUGUGUUUGGUUCUAAUUUUUUGACAGGUAAAUCAUGUUCUAUUGGUUGCUUUGCUUAUGUUUCGGCAGGUAUGGAUCAUUGGACAAUUUUAACCAAGGCUUCAAGUGGACUUCAACUUGUGUCCUGUAAGUCUAGUGUGUCUUGCAACUGGUCCUGAUUACCAUACCACACCUGGUUCAACAGCGUUCGUGCGUUGGAGUCUUCUUGGCAAAUCUGCAGAAAUCAUAAUAACAAGAUUAACUUAUAUGUGCUAUUAUACCAAUAUGUACGCCUGAACUGGUUCUACAGCAGGUCUUCCAUGAGCGAAGGGUGGGAUUUUAAUCAAUGUAUUUUUUGUGCUGCAAGCCUCGGGUGGCUGGUUCAUGGCAGGUCUUGGUCGCCUUCAUCCUGUCCUCGGGUUAAGUGGCUUGUUCAUAUUUUUUACACUUAUGUUAUGCUUUCCUAGAUUGUGUUACAUUUUAGCCUCAUGGCUCCAUGUAUUGGUUGUGAUUUAGGAAUGUAUUGUGGCUAAGAAUCCAUCCACGUGUAUCAUGAUAUUGUCAUUCCAAAAUUAUUCAAGCUCUGUUCAUGGUUUGCCUUUCUUGUAGGUUAUACGCAUGGUGGUGAGACAAUCAUGGUGUCAAGAUUAGAGUCCGAAGCACGCGUCCCUCAAUGGCCAACCAUAAUGGAAUUUGAAGACAUGAUUAGAAUUAGGAUGGUAGGUUUGAGAGUUAGGAUGAGAACAAAGUUGGUUCAACUUUGGCCAACAUUACCAAAUUUUGUAGUUUCUCUCAAAUAAUAGGCCUUUCAUGGUUUUGUAAUAAGUAGUGUUAUGCUUGCUGGUUUUGUGAUGUAGGAUCCGCUAUUCCGCUGAAUGCGUUUGUCCAUUGGCUUAUGUUAAUCCUACCACUGAUCAUGGUUUGAAAUGGGAUGAUUGUAAUUGAAGCAAGUGAUUGUAUGUUGUACUUGUUGAUUUGUAAAUGAAGGUGUGAUUU
This is a long non-coding RNA of Lathyrus oleraceus (garden pea), 1923 nucleotides long. RefSeq lists it as uncharacterized. Lineage: Eukaryota; Viridiplantae; Streptophyta; Magnoliopsida; Fabales; Fabaceae. The record is from RefSeq and is a predicted model, not a curated record. The transcript is spliced from 3 exons.